AUGCCUCCCUUAUUUGUGGCCAGCCCAGUCACAACUGUUCACUGGCUCCUGGUUUUCGUUUGUUUCUCUGACUUGUGUCCCCCUUCUCCAGACCCUCCGAGAGCGCCUCUGCACGACUCUUGUUCUUCCCUGCAUUUCCCAGUGGCCAGCAGAGGGCGCCUCCUAAAAGACUGCCGGACCAAAAGGAGCGGAUCCGCUUCCCCGGAUCCAGGCACUGUAAAGCCCAGGCUCAUGGCCACCUCAGCCUCUGCAGAGCACAGCCUGGCCUGCUCCGUCCCAGCAGGGCCCCCUCCUUGAUCCCGGGAGCCUGCUGCUGUGAGUGGCAUCAUCACCCCACUCCUCAGGCCGCCCAGUCAUCAGGUCAGCAAUU
This 370-nucleotide long non-coding RNA is filed under the name Capra hircus (goat). RNAcentral's name for it is "lncRNA (ENSCHIG00010024594.1)". The record is from RNAcentral. Lineage: Eukaryota; Metazoa; Chordata; Mammalia; Artiodactyla; Bovidae.